RNAcentral lists this non-coding RNA (30 nucleotides) under Rattus norvegicus (Norway rat). The record is from RNAcentral. Lineage: Eukaryota; Metazoa; Chordata; Mammalia; Rodentia; Muridae.
UGGCCUAUCCCAAACAAAUCCAAGGAAGAC